AUGAAAUAUGACCUCGUGGUUCACUUCCUAACGGGUUCAUACUUUUUGCAGGCCACUGUACCAGUUAACCCGAAGCCUUUCCUGAACAACCUGACAAGGAAGUCUGUUAUUGUCAAACUGAAAUGGGGUAUGGAGUACAAAGGGUACCUUGUUUCUGUGGACUCUUACAUGAAUCUGCAGCUUGCUGAUACAGAGGAGUAUAUUGAUGGACAAUUCUCUGGAAACCUUGGAGAUAUACUGAUAAGGUAA
This 249-nucleotide ribosomal RNA is filed under the name Triticum aestivum (bread wheat). RNAcentral describes it as "partial small subunit ribosomal RNA". The record is from RNAcentral. Lineage: Eukaryota; Viridiplantae; Streptophyta; Magnoliopsida; Poales; Poaceae.